AGGGGUUAGGCCCCUAGUACCGGGCGAGUGAAGCGGCAACAGCUCAAAUUUGAAAGGCUGGCCUUCGGGUCCGCAUUGUAAUUUGUAGAGGAUGCUUUGGGGCAGCCGCCUGUCUAAGUUCCUUGGAACAGGACGUCAUAGAGGGUGAGAAUCCCGUAUGUGACAGGACAUGGCACCCUAUGUAAAGCUCCUUCGACGAGUCGAGUUGUUUGGGAAUGCAGCUCUAAAUGGGAGGUAAAUUUCUUCUAAAGCUAAAUAUUGGCGAGAGACCGAUAGCGCACAAGUAGAGUGAUCGAAAGAUGAAAAGCACUUUGGAAAGAGAGUUAAAAAGCACGUGAAAUUGUUGAAAGGGAAGCGCUUGCAAUCAGACUUGUUUAAACUGUUCGGCCGGUCUUCUGACCGGUUUACUCAGUUUGGACAGGCCAGCAUCAGUUUCGGCGGCCGGAUAAAGGCUCUGGGAAUGUGGCCUCCACUUCGGUGGAGGUGUUAUAGCCCAGGGUGUAAAUACGGCCAGCCGGGACUGAGGGUCCGCGCUUCGGCUAGGAUGCUGGCGUAAUUGGUUGUAAGCAAAAAGA
RNAcentral lists this ribosomal RNA (575 nucleotides) under Aureobasidium sp. Its description in RNAcentral is "eukaryotic LSU rRNA". It matches the Rfam family "Eukaryotic large subunit ribosomal RNA", at positions 70 to 652 of the family's 3401-position model. The record is from RNAcentral. Lineage: Eukaryota; Fungi; Ascomycota; Dothideomycetes; Dothideales; Saccotheciaceae.